UCACACAAGAGACCCAAAUUAACCGUACUACCGGCGUAAAGAGUGGCAAUAUGUUAUCCCAAUGACUAAGAUCAAAGUACAACCAAGCUGUCAUAAGCCCAAGACGUAUCUAAAGCCACCCUCAAGACGAUCUUAGCGCCAACGACCAAUUUUAACCCACGAAAGCUAGGACACAAACUGGGGUUAGAUACCCCACUAUGCCUAGCCCUAAAUCCAGGUACUUACCAAACCCAAGUACCCGCCCGAGAACUACGAGCACAAACGCUUAAAACUCUAAGGACUUGGCGGUGCCCCAAACCCACCUAGAGGAGCCUGUUCUAUAAUCGAUAAUCCACGAUUAACCCAACCACCCCUUGCCAACACAGCCUACAUACCGCCGUCGCCAGCUCACCUCCACUGAGAGUCCAACAGUGAGCUAAAUAGUUACCCCACUAGCAAGACAGGUCAAGGUAUAGCCCAUGGGGUGGAAGAAAUGGGCUACAUUUUCUACCGCUAGAACAAACUUUACGAAAGGGGGUGUGAAAUCACCCCUAGAAGGAGGAUUUAGCAGUAAAGCAGGACAAUAGGGCCUACUUUAAACCGGCUCUGGGACACGUACAUACCGCCCGUCACCCUCCUCAUAAGCUAAACAAACCACAUAAAUAAUCUGCCAAACAGCCAAAGAUGAGGUAAGUCGUCGUAACAA
RNAcentral lists this ribosomal RNA (685 nucleotides) under Chauna torquata (southern screamer). Its description in RNAcentral is "partial 12S ribosomal RNA". It matches the Rfam family "Bacterial small subunit ribosomal RNA", at positions 521 to 1494 of the family's 1533-position model. The record is from RNAcentral. Lineage: Eukaryota; Metazoa; Chordata; Aves; Anseriformes; Anhimidae.